GUAGGUGAACCUGCGGAAGGAUCAUUACCGAGUUCAUGCCCUUCGGGGUAGAUCUCCCACCCUUUGUAUACUAUACCUUUGUUGCUUUGGCGGGCCGCCUAGCUACUGGCUUCGGCUGGACUGUGCCUGCCAGAGGAUACCAAACUCUGAAUGUUAAUGUCGUCUGAGUACUAUUUAAUAGUUAAAACUUUCAACAACGGAUCUCUUGGUUCUG
This 214-nucleotide unclassified non-coding RNA is filed under the name rhizosphere metagenome. Its description in RNAcentral is "partial ribosomal RNA internal transcribed spacer region". The record is from RNAcentral.